This 954-nucleotide ribosomal RNA is filed under the name Triticum aestivum (bread wheat). RNAcentral's name for it is "partial small subunit ribosomal RNA". Lineage: Eukaryota; Viridiplantae; Streptophyta; Magnoliopsida; Poales; Poaceae. The record is from RNAcentral.
AUGGAGUUUAAGGUGGCAUCGAAGGCGGCCGCGUUGCCCGCGGCCUGGCACGGCACGAGCCAGGGAGCGCAGGGCCGGAGCAGCGUCGCCUUUGGAUCGGCGUGGAGGAAGGCGUCGUCGCGGCCGGCGCGGGCGCUGUUCGCUGCAACUAACAACUCCGCGCCGGUGGCCAGGGUGGAGAAACAGAGGAUAGAUCAAAGUCAAAUACUGACCUUGGACAGUGUCAGAACUUCGUUGAUUAGACUAGAAGACAGCAUCAUAUUCGGUCUCUUGGAGAGAGCACAGUAUUGUUAUAAUGCUGAUACAUAUGAUAGCAAUUCUUUCCAUGUGGAUGGAUUUGGCGGCUCUUUGGUUGAAUUCAUGGUUAGAGAAACUGAAAAGCUACAUGCAAAGGUUGGGAGAUACAAGAGCCCAGAUGAGCACCCAUUCUUUCCAGAAGAUCUGCCUGAGACACUGUUGCCGCCUAUCCAGUAUCCAACGGUUCUGCAUCCUAUUGCUGAUUCCAUUAAUAUCAACAAAGAGAUUUGGAAAAUGUACUUUGAUGAAGUUCUUCCAAGGCUAGUGAAAGAAGGAAGUGAUGGAAAUUCUGGAUCCAGUGCUCUUUGCGACACGACCUGCUUGCAGGCACUCUCUAAGAGAAUCCACUAUGGAAAGUUUGUGGCAGAGGCCAAGUUUCAAGAGUCCCCUGAAGAUUACACUCCUGCAAUAAAAGCUCAGGACGGCGCUCAACUAAUGCAGCUCCUCACCUACGAGACGGUCGAGCGUGCGAUCGAACAUCGGGUGGAAACCAAGGCCAAGAUAUUUGGACAGGAGGUGAACAUAGGAGCUGAAGCCAAGGGCAUGGCGCCUGUGUACAAGAUCAGGCCCAGCCUGGUCGCUGGACUGUACAGCAACAGGAUCAUGCCGCUGACCAAGGACGUCCAGAUAGCAUACUUGCUAAGGAGGCUGGACUGA